This 254-nucleotide ribosomal RNA is filed under the name uncultured bacterium. RNAcentral's name for it is "partial 16S ribosomal RNA". It matches the Rfam family "Bacterial small subunit ribosomal RNA", at positions 524 to 776 of the family's 1533-position model. The record is from RNAcentral.
UACGUAGGGGGCAAGCGUUGUCCGGAUUUAUUGGGCGUAAAGAGCGUGUAGGCGGCCUGGAAGGUCAGCUGUGAAACCUCCAGGCUCAACCUGGAGACGCCACCCGAUACUGCUGUGGCUAGAGUCCGGUAGGGGAGCGUGGAAUUCCUGGUGUAGCGGUGAAAUGCGCAGAUAUCAGGAGGAACACCAGCGGCGAAGGCGGCGCUCUGGGCCGGUACUGACGCUGAGGAGCGAAAGCGUGGGUAGCAAACAGG